GAUGAACGCUGGCGGCGUGCCUAAUACAUGCAAGUCGAGCGAACGGACGAGAAGCUUGCUUCUCUGAUGUUAGCGGCGGACGGGUGAGUAACACGUGGAUAACCUACCUAUAAGACUGGGAUAACUUCGGGAAACCGUAGCUAAUACCGGAUAAUAUUUUGAACCGCAUGGUUCAAAAGUGAAAGACGGUCUUGCUGUCACUUAUAGAUGGAUCCGCGCUGCAUUAGCUAGUUGGUAAGGUAACGGCUUACCAAGGCAACGAUGCAUAGCCGACCUGAGAGGGUGAUCGGCCAAACGGAAACGGAGACACGGCCCAGACUCCUAGGGGAGGCAGCAGUAGGGAAUCUUCCGAAAGGGGCGAAAGCCUGACGGAGAAACGCCGGGUGAGUGAUGAAGGUCUUCGGAUCGUAAAACUCUGUUAUUAGGGAAGAACAUUUGUGUAAGUAACUGUGCAAAUCUUGACGGUACCUAAUCAGAAAGCCACGGCUAACUCCGU
This 496-nucleotide ribosomal RNA is filed under the name uncultured bacterium. RNAcentral's name for it is "partial 16S ribosomal RNA". It matches the Rfam family "Bacterial small subunit ribosomal RNA", at positions 28 to 506 of the family's 1533-position model. The record is from RNAcentral.